CUGGGUGACUUUGAGUGAGUCCUUUUCCCAUCCUGGGCCUGAGAGAUAAAAGGCUUGAAUUCCGUAUUGCCACAGCAUCAUGCUCCAAUCAUGAGAAAUAACUCAGUGAUGCGUGUGUGGAGGGGGAGGGCCCGUGCAUAUGUGAUAGAGAGAGAGAGGUGGGGGGGAUUCCUCCAAGCACACAUGGGCCCAUUUAACCAGAUUCUGCUUCACCUUCUUUUCUUUAAUCCCCAGAGAUGUGGCUUGCUCAGUGAACUGCCACUAAGUGCUCCCUAGGCACCCACUGGUGUCAGGUCCUCUGCUGGGGCCUACAGACGGGUCCCUUCCUUGAAGGGCUCAUGCCUGACGAUCAUUAGCAAAGCCUUCCUGUGUCUAAAGGAUCGCUUACUCCCUGUUUGCUCAGAGCUCAGGAGGCACAGCCUCACUAGAAGGUUUGGAAAGCACCCUGCGGUGGAAGAAUGAGAAUAUCUGAGCUGUGCAAGCAAAUGGUAUGGGCCAGCAUCUAGAACUGCAGCUCAGGAAGGAGAACUCAAGCAGAGCUGAAAAGCCUAUGAGGAAGACAGAUGGCAAGAGGAGUCGGCUGAAUAGCGGCACCCAAAGACAGCAGGUCCUAAUCCUGGAGCUGUAAAUGUGACCUCAUUUGGAGAAAAAAAAAAAAAAGUCUUUGCAGAUGUGAUUAAGUUAGAGAAUCUGAGAUGGGGAGAUUAUCCUGGAUGAUCAGGGUGUGUCCUAAAUGCAAUCACAAGUGUCCUUACAAGAGACGGGCAGAGGGAAAUUUGACACACAGAAGAGAGACAGUGAUGGGAAUUGAGAAAGAUCUGAAGAUGCUGAUAUUGAAGAUCGGAGUGAUGAGGCCACAAGCCAAAGGAUGCUAGCAGCUCCCAGAAUCUGGAAGAAGUGAGAAUAAAUUUUCCUCUAAAGCCUCCAGAGGAAGCACAGCCCUGCCGGCUCCUUGAUUUUAGCCCAGUGAUGCUGAUUUUUGACUUCUGUCCUCCAGAACUGUGAAAUAAACCUCUGUUGUUUUAAGCCACCAAGUUUGGGGUGAUUUGUUACAGCAGCCACAGGAAAACCAGCCAGUAUAGUGGCUCGUGAGGCCCAUUUUACUUUUGAGGAAAUACAGACCCAGAGAGCAGCAGUGAUUUGCACAGAGCCACACAGCACAUUAGCCCCUUUGGCCGAGGCCAGACCAGGUUAACAGACCCUGAACCACUGCGCUCCUGCUUCCAUCUGCCCCGCCUCCUCCUGGCCAUGCUGGGACUGCUGGGAGGUCUUAGACCUGAGAUGCCUCUAGUUUCCACAGUGGUGUGUAGUUGCCCCCAGGCGAAUCUUGCUGGUGCCAAGCCCCAACCUGUGGCCACCAUUGCCCUCAACCAGGAUGCGCUCC
This 1384-nucleotide long non-coding RNA is filed under the name Homo sapiens (human). Its description in RNAcentral is "HSALNT0222198". Lineage: Eukaryota; Metazoa; Chordata; Mammalia; Primates; Hominidae. The record is from RNAcentral.